RNAcentral lists this ribosomal RNA (1244 nucleotides) under metagenome. RNAcentral describes it as "bacterial LSU rRNA". It matches the Rfam family "Bacterial large subunit ribosomal RNA", at positions 1689 to 2925 of the family's 2925-position model. The record is from RNAcentral.
UUCGGGAGAAUCUCUGUUAAGGAAUUAGGCAAAUUAGAUCCGUAACUUCGGGAAAAGGAUCGCCCCAUUAGCGUGACGACGACAAGCUUGUCUGAGCGUGAAGGGGCCGCAGAGAAAUGGCUCUAGCGACUGGUUACCAGAACCACAGGUCUGUGCUAAGUCGAAAGACGACGUAUACGGGCUGACGCCUGCCCAGUGCCGGAAGGUUAAGGGGAGCGGUGCAAGCUGCGAACUGAAGCCCCGGUGAACGGCGGCCGUAACUAUAACGGUCCUAAGGUAGCGAAAUUCCUUGUCGGGUAAGUUCCGACCCGCACGAAUGGCGUAACGACUGGAGCUCUGUCUCAACAGAGAACCCGGUGAAACUGAAUUAGGAGUGAAGAUGCUUCUUACCCGCAGCUGGACAAAAAGACCCCGUGGAGCUUUACUGUAGCUUGACAUUGGGUUAGAACCUAGGUUGUGUAGGAUAGGUGGGAGACUGUGAAGCUGGGCCGCCAGGCUCGGUGGAGUCGUCGGUGAAAUACCACUCUGCUUAAGUUUUGGCUCUAACCUUUGCCGUAAUCCGGUGAGGAAACAGUGUCAGGUGGGCAGUUUGACUGGGGCGGUCGCCUCCUAAAGAGUAACGGAGGCGCGCAAAGGUUCCCUCAGGCUGAAUGGAAACCAGUCGUAGAGUGCAAUCGCAUAAGGGAGCUUGACUGCGAGACGGACAGGUCGAGCAGAGACGAAAGUCGGCGUUAGUGAUCCUAUGGCACCGAGUGGAAGGGCCAUGGCUCAACGGAUAAAAGCUACCCCGGGGAUAACAGGCUAGUCUUCCCCAAGAGUUCACAUCGACGGGAAGGUUCGGCACCUCGGUGUCGGCUCGUCACAUCCUGGGGCUGGAGUAGGUCCCAAGGGUUGGGCUGUUCGCCCAUUAAAGUGGUACGCGAGCUGGGUUCAGACCGUCGUGAGACAGGUCGGUCUCUAUCCGCUGUGGGCGUAAGGGAAUUGAGGAGAGCUGCCCCUAGUACGAGAGGACCGGGGUGGACGGAUCUCUGGUGUGCCAGUUGUGCUGCCAAGUGCAUGGCUGGGUAGCUAAGUCCGGAAUGGAUAACCGCUGAAAGCAUCUAAGUGGGAAGCCAGCUCCAAGAUAAGUUCCCUCACAGGGUUAACCUGGUAAGUGCGCAGGAAGACCACCUGCUUGAUAGGCGGCAAGUGUACAGGCUGAGAGGCCUUUAGCUAAGCCGUACUAAUGCACGAGGGCUUAAAAC